Molecule: long non-coding RNA, 1256 nt
Filed under: Salvator merianae (Argentine black and white tegu)
Lineage: Eukaryota; Metazoa; Chordata; Lepidosauria; Squamata; Teiidae
Description: lncRNA (ENSSMRG00000006175.1)
Source: RNAcentral
GGAAUAUAUAACCCAACUUCAUUGCUCUUCUACUAAAACACUGGGGGGGGGGAAUCGGAGCUGGAUUUCCACGUUGCAUUUGCUUCCUUUUGUUAAUGUUUUAUGGGGGGUUGGCUUAGGUUUCCUAAUCAGGUUAUCUUAAAUAAAGACAAAAAGGGAAGAAGACACGAGCGGAGGGAGGAACUAGGAUUCCCCCCCUUCGGUCCCCGCCCGCCAAGACGCAGCAGCGCAGCAACUGUUGCGCUUGUGGAAUCCGAACAAUCUGGAUCGCAACGGGGAGAAGCCAGCGGCAGCAGCCACCGUUCUUUCAGUUGAGGCCGCGGCGGGGGAGCCCAGUUGCCCCUAUGGGCACAGGCAGCAGCAGCAGCUGGGCUGCAAAACCGCGCAGCCCCACCGCGGAGCCCCUCAUCGUAGCUCCCGGACCGGACAUUGGUGGCGGUAACAGCAGCGGCGCCCCCGCCAGGCAGGGCCAAGAAGAGCAGAGGGCGCUGGGGACUGGGAGGACCUCUGGGGCGGACGCCGGCGGGGACUGCUGCGAUCAGGAUUCGGCGCAAGGCGGGGAGCCCGACGCCGACUUGGAGCUCCUGAACCAAAUCCUGCAAGAGUGUGACGAAGGGCUCGUGGCGCAGCCGCCACCGCCACGCAGUCGCCGCCUCCCGCCGCGCUUCGACUCGGGAGAUUCCCGAUGCCCUCCGGCACCGGCAGGGGGCAGCAGCGCGGAGGAGGUCUUUUUAGCAGGAUCUACCCAAGGCCUAGAGAACAGUAACUUUUCCAAUCAGCUUCCACUCAAGAAACCCGAGAAACAGGCCAAGAUAUCCUACGAUUACUCUGAAGAGGAGUUGAUGGCAACAAUCGAGCAGGAGUACUGUCGCUGAAACUGGUUCCCAGGCUAUGGCUAUGGCUAUGAACAAACUGACUAGGCAACAAGCAAAAUAUUUAGCAUUUUUCAGAUAUACCAUAACAGGGCAGGCAAGAGGGCAAAAAGUGAAAUUGCCACCACUCUGAGAGACUGGCAAACCCACGUUCUAUGGAACAGGUGGUCCAAGAAGAGAUGCUUCUAAAGAAAUUAUAUUGUUUACUAUGCCAGAAUGCUGCCACUGAGAAGAGAUCUGAUAGGUGGAAACAGCAUUGUCCUUAUCCUAGAAGACUGGGAAGAAAUGUGGUAAAGGACUCAACUGCCUGUGCUUUGCCUGUCAUUUCCUAAGAACUUUGGAUCACAAAACCUAACCUGCACAAUAAAAUGUUUAUUCUUAGCA